CCAAAUCACCAUGAAACACCGGUUCUCGUACGAUCAUCGAAGUUAAGCAACGUCGGGCUUGUUCAGUACAUAGAUGGGUGACCGCUUGGGAAUACUAGGCGCU
Molecule: non-coding RNA, 103 nt
Organism: Acanthosepion pharaonis
Lineage: Eukaryota; Metazoa; Mollusca; Cephalopoda; Sepiida; Sepiidae
Source: the annotation of a GenBank genome assembly